AUUGAACGCUGGCGGCAGGCCUAACACAUGCAAGUCGAGCGGCAGCGGGAAAGUAGCUUGCUACUUUUGCCGGCGAGCGGCGGACGGGUGAGUAAUGCCUGGGGAUCUGCCCAGUCGAGGGGGAUAACAGUUGGAAACGACUGCUAAUACCGCAUCCGCCCUACGGGGGAAAGGAGGGGAACUUCGGGCCUUUCGCGAUUGGAUGCACCCAGGUGGGAUUAGCGAGUGGGUGGGGUAAUGGCUCACCAAGGCGACGAUCCCUAGCUUGGCUGAGAGGAUGAUCAGCCACACUGGAACUGAGACACGGUCCAGACUCCUACGGGAGGCAGCAGUGGGGAAUAUUGCACAAUGGGGGAAACCCUGAUGCAGCCAUGCCGCGUGUGUGAAGAAGGCCUUCGGGUUGUAAAGCACUUUCAGCGAGGAGGAAAGGUUGUUGGCUAAUACCCAGCAACUGUGACGUUACUCGCAGAAGAAGCACCGGCUAACUCCGUGCCAGCCGCCGCAGUAA
RNAcentral lists this ribosomal RNA (508 nucleotides) under uncultured bacterium. RNAcentral describes it as "partial 16S ribosomal RNA". It matches the Rfam family "Bacterial small subunit ribosomal RNA", at positions 29 to 523 of the family's 1533-position model. The record is from RNAcentral.